GCCUGAGGAGACAAGAUGGCCGCCUUCAGAGAUCCAGAACCCUGAGCCGGCCAGACUUCCUCCAGCCGACCAGAGGUUCAGGAAACCCUCCAUGACGAGACAUUAGUCCGGUCACCAGAGGUCAGGGGUCACCAGAGGUCACAGUCAAACAUCAGAAACAUUAAGAUGACCUGCAGCAGAGCGAGGAGAGUCCACCUGCAGACAUGACUCAGAGCGGUUCUGCUUCAUUUAACCCGACCACCCGGGUCGCCCGGCGCCACCGCCUCACUGAGCGCGCUCAGACAUCAGCUGGACACAACAGAACCAUCCCAAAGACCAGAACCAGAACCCUGCAGCUCUCCUCCUCAUUAGCUCUAUUUUCAGCUUUAAUAAACUGGCAGAACAUUAUGACCAGAACCAGAAAAACAAACAUGAAGAGCCAACCUAUCAGAACCAACCAACGCCGGCCCAAAUUCCCUGAAACUUUAAAGCUUUUUGCUUGGUGAGAGAACCAGAACCUGAACAGAACUAGAGCAGAACCUGAACAGAACCAGACCAGAACCAGAGAAGAACCUGAACAGAACCAGACCAGAACUAGAGCAGAACCUGAACAGAACUAGAGCAGAACCAGAACAGAACCAGAUCAGAACCAAAGGAGAACCUGAACAGAACCAGAGGAGAACCAGACCUAGAACUAGAGCAAAACCAGAGGAGAACCUGAACAGAACCAGACCAGAACCUAAACAGAACCCGCUGGUUCUGUGAAGCAGGAAGGAUCAGAAGACUUCAGGAUGUUUGGGUCGUCUGAUGAACCGUUCUGGGUCCCAGGAGUCUCAGGGUUCUGGUCCAGUAGGACCCAGAGCAGCCAGACCAGAAGAUCUGACCAUCACAGGUCCAGAUCCUGGCAGAACCACCAGGGAUUCCUCCCAGAACUCUGUGUGUGUGUGUUAGCUGCAGCUUCCUGCUGAUUAAUAUUCAGUCCAACGCUCUGACUGUCUGCUACGACAUGAUGCAGCGCUCUGCUGCACACACACUUCAUCAGGCAUGUCACAUACACACCCACACACACAGAGUCACACUCCGUCAGGCAGAGCUGCCAGUUGAACUUUGCAGAGGAAAUGUUCCUCCUUGGCGCGCCGCCCUCCCAGCCACCGGAUGGCGCCAAAUAUAAAAUGAAGAAAGGAAGAAGAAGAGUCACCAGACUGGUGUAGAAGAAGAAAGAGGAGGAAGAGGAAGCUACCAUCAGACUCUCUGUUUCCAGCAUUUUAACAAACUGCAUCCUCUAUUGGCCCACCAGAACCAGAACCAGUCUGGACUGAGUCCGGUUCUCCUCCUCCAGAUUGUUGCUGGUCUGGGUUGGUCGUCAUGGAGACAGGGCAGCAAAACCUGCUGCCGUUUCUGGUCUGGAGGAGGUCGGGUACCAGCAGCGUGGGUCCAGAGGAAGUUCUGGUCCAGAGAGACGCUGGAGGGCGAGAGAAAAUCUGGAUCUGAUUGGGAAAACCUGAAGUGGGUCCGAUAGCACCAGAGAGUAUUUAAUGCCCAUAUGGCUACAGGCUAUCAACUGUUCUUCAAUCUGUUUCAGAGUUUCCCCCAGUAAACCUGCUGAGGCGUCCGCCCUGUUUUUGUACUAAAAGAUGUUAAUUAGGCAGGAAAUGUAAAAAUAUUACUGGGUAAUUAAAUGUUACAGGAAAACAUCUCCAGUGAAACGAUAUUUAAACCAACAACUAGUCUGAAAAACAACAAAUCAAAAAAUACAAUUAAGAUGAAUAUCAAUUAUUUGCACUUUUGUUUAAUCCAAAUGAAGUCAGCGGCUCCAUCGGGCCCCCGGGGCUUCAGGGGCCAUAAAUGAUCAUAUUUUAACACAGAUA
Xiphophorus hellerii (green swordtail) is the source of this 1847-nucleotide long non-coding RNA. RefSeq lists it as uncharacterized. The record is from RefSeq and is a predicted model, not a curated record. NCBI's taxonomy places the organism in Eukaryota, Metazoa, Chordata, Actinopteri, Cyprinodontiformes, Poeciliidae. The transcript has 2 exons.